Molecule: ribosomal RNA, 804 nt
Filed under: uncultured fungus
Lineage: Eukaryota; Fungi
Description: eukaryotic LSU rRNA
Rfam family: Eukaryotic large subunit ribosomal RNA
Source: RNAcentral
GAACUUAAGCAUAUCAAUAAGCGGAGGAAAAGAAACUAACAAGGAUUCCCCUAGUAACUGCGAGUGAAGCGGGAAAAGCUCAAAUUUAAAAUCUGGCGGUCUUUGGCCGUCCGAGUUGUAGUCUGGAGAAGUGCUUUCCGCGCUGGACCGUGUAUAAGUCUCUUGGAACAGAGCGUCAUAGAGGGUGAGAAUCCCGUCUUUGACACGGACUACCAGUGCUUUGUGAUGCGCUCUCAAAGAGUCGAGUUGUUUGGGAAUGCAGCUCAAAAUGGGUGGUGAAUUCCAUCUAAAGCUAAAUAUUGGCGAGAGACCGAUAGCGAACAAGUACCGUGAGGGAAAGAUGAAAAGCACUUUGGAAAGAGAGUUAAACAGUACGUGAAAUUGCUGAAAGGGAAACGCUUGAAGUCAGUCGCGUUGUCCGGAACUCAGCCUUGCUUUUGCUUGGUGCACUUUCCGGAUGACGGGUCAGCAUCGAUUUUGACCGUCGGAAAAGGGCUGGAGUAAUGUGGCACCUCCGGGUGUGUUAUAGACUCUGGUCGCAUACGGCGGUUGGGAUCGAGGAACGCAGCGCGCCGCAAGGCAGGGGUUCGCCCACUUUCGCGCUUAGGAUGCUGGCAUAAUGGCUUUAAACGACCCGUCUUGAAACACGGACCAAGGAGUCUAACAUACCUGCGAGUGUUUGGGUGGAAAACCCGAGCGCGUAAUGAAAGUGAAAGUUGAGACUCCUGUCGUGGGAGGCAUCGACGCCCGGACCUGACGUUCUCUGACGGAUCCGCGGUAGAGCAUGUAUGUUGGGACCCGAAA